Molecule: non-coding RNA, 788 nt
Organism: Nicotiana tabacum (common tobacco)
Lineage: Eukaryota; Viridiplantae; Streptophyta; Magnoliopsida; Solanales; Solanaceae
Source: RefSeq, a predicted model, not a curated record
AAUCUCUUAACCAUGUCGGCUUGUAUCUUCCGAAGCAAGUAUUCACCCAUGGUCAAUUAUAUGUGGCUGUCUCCCGAGUAACAACAAGAGAAGGAUUAACCAUACUAAAUGCUGACGAGGACGCAGAAGAUCCUACAUUCAUUAAAAAUAUUGUUUACAAAGAGGUAUUCCAAAAUAUACGUCCUAUGGCUGCUGAGACACGCGAGGAUAACUAACUAUACCAUUGAUGAUUCAUGCUGGAAUGAGCUCUCAAUGCCGAUGACAAUUUUAAACGUCCUGCUUCAGUUGUGCUUAUGGCACCUCUCAUUGGGCAGUAUUCUUAUUUUUCUCUUUUCUCCUUUUUAUGCCAUUUUCCUUAUUUAUUUGUUAAGUGUCUUUUCUCACCUUUUCAGAAAAGGCGUGACCGGACAGUUUUUCAGUUACAACUUUGUCCAGAUAAGUUUUGAAAUCUAAACGCUCUAACACUUAAUUAUGGAAUUUGAAACGGUUUUCUAUUAUUAAAACAGUCACCACCACUAUUUUCCCAACUAUAUCUACAAUUUGUGCAUCUCAUCUUCUUGGUACUGCUUCAUGUUGGAUGCAUCAAGAAUAUAUCUCAUAUGCUGGUUAUUUAUUUUAGUACUUUUCGUGAGUGUAUUUUUGGACUUUUUGACCUCUUUAAAAUCUUUUUAAUGUGCAGGUUGAUGAAGAAUUGAAUAGAGUGAAUGUGACUGUAUAAUGGGCAAGUAGUCCUUCCUCAAGUCUAUGCAACCUUUCUUCAUCGAUUUUAAAACCGAUUCUUCGUUGCA